RNAcentral lists this transfer RNA (39 nucleotides) under Rhinoceros sondaicus (Javan rhinoceros). RNAcentral describes it as "partial tRNA-Phe". Lineage: Eukaryota; Metazoa; Chordata; Mammalia; Perissodactyla; Rhinocerotidae. The record is from RNAcentral.
AUUGAAAAUGCCUAGAUGAGAUCACCAACUCCAUAAACA